This 329-nucleotide unclassified non-coding RNA is filed under the name soil metagenome. RNAcentral's name for it is "partial contains 5.8S ribosomal RNA, internal transcribed spacer 2, and large subunit ribosomal RNA". The stretch from base 1 to 120 matches the Rfam family "5.8S ribosomal RNA", at positions 35 to 154 of the family's 154-position model. The record is from RNAcentral.
GAUGAAGAACGUAGCGAAAUGCGAUAAGUAAUGUGAAUUGCAGAAUUCAGUGAAUCAUCGAAUCUUUGAACGCACAUUGCGCCCCCUGGUAUUCCGGGGGGCAUGCCUGUCCGAGCGUCAUUACAACCCUCAUGCUCAGCUUGGUGUUGGGCCCCGCCGCCCCGGCGGGCCCUAAAGUCAGUGGCGGUGCCGUCCGGCUCCGAGCGUAGUAAUUCUUCUCGCUCUGGAGGUCCGGUCGUGUGCUCGCCAGCAACCCCCAAUUUUUUUCAGGUUGACCUCGGAUCAGGUAGGGAUACCCGCUGAACUUAAGCAUAUCAAUAAGCGGAGGA